AGGCUCUUGAGAUGGGCCUGGAGGUCUGAUCUGAAACCAGGCCCCUGCUCUCAUGUAUCUCAAUGUGGCUUUGAAACAGCAGCUCUAUGCAACUCAUUUUCAUCUAGCAUUACCUCUCCAAAACCUGAAUCUCCACAAGAAAGCCGUACAGCAAUUAACCAGUGUUGCAAGAACUGCUUCUGUAAUAAAGGAUCUGUGAUCUUCUCAUUUUGCCUGGUAGUUGUGUUGUUUCCUCUGGGUACUGAUCACACUUGUACAAAUGGACAGAUGUUGAAAAUACAUCCACUGGUGGGUAAACCUGAAAUAAACACUAAUUUUUCAUUUUUAUAAAGGUUUCUUUUUGAUGUAU
Molecule: long non-coding RNA, 349 nt
Organism: Pan paniscus (pygmy chimpanzee)
Lineage: Eukaryota; Metazoa; Chordata; Mammalia; Primates; Hominidae
Source: Ensembl